This 1985-nucleotide long non-coding RNA is filed under the name Bemisia tabaci. RNAcentral's name for it is "lncRNA ENSSSA1UGG003326". Lineage: Eukaryota; Metazoa; Arthropoda; Insecta; Hemiptera; Aleyrodidae. The record is from RNAcentral.
AGCGCAUGGAGAUCAAAGCGAGAGAGAAGUAAUACUCAAAUGAAUCUCACCCGACAUUACUGCAAGUGCUUAUUAUAUUUUAAGGGAAUUUCAUUUUUGAAAAACCCGAGAAAUGUCACAAUUAAAAAUAAUUGUUUGAACGUGAUCCGCAUUCACUACAACUUCGCGUUCGCAUUUCCGCGCAUUUUCUGUUCUGAAAUGAAGCAUGGAAUUACAUGUUGUAACUUCGUCACGUUUUAAUUCAAAUUCAUGGAGCCAUUGGUGUUGGUUGGUCCGACUCUUAAUUUUCAUCAAGAUUUACGGUCGAAAUCGACGAUCUUUCAACGCCACCUCUUACUCUCUUACAACUUAUUACUUCCGUCAUACUCUUCCAGUCAAUAAUUUCAUGUCCGACCUUUCUUCGAUUCACUGUGAUCCGACACGAUGGGAGGGAGGGGGUGCCACUUGUUACCCACCCCACAGCAGCGGCCCCCGUGAAACCGUGCGCGCGAGCAUGCGCACAAGCGCGCUAGUGCGUACUUGCACUGCGUUACACGCGAGCUUCAGCGAAGGUCUCUCCCCUGCCUUCAUUUCGUCAAUACUCCGUGCGCUACGAGUUUUUCCGCCUCCUCUUCAGCCCGGCUACACCUUCCCGACGCAAAUUUUGGAUUAACCCUUCUUCGUUUCAGGCUUAUUGAUUCACCACCACAACCUCGUAAGGGGCAAUACCUCGGUCAUUUUUUGAAAAACGGAAACAGGAAGCAAACAUGUUUUAUUGAAGCAAAGCGCUUUUAUUCGUAGAAGCUAUUGGAUCUCCACUCUAAGCUCUUCCUCCCGUUUCCAGCUCUUUGGAUUGAAAUAUAUCUCUUGAUCGUGAUAAAGAAUAAGCCACUAAAAUAAUCGUAUGUCUCUGAAUUGAAUGAAUCUGAUUUAGAUUUGGGUUAAGUGGUAAAUUGGAUGUCAGCGAUGGAUAUAGCAAUAUUGAAAUUCAAGUACAAAUGGACACACGAACAUGAAAUGCUCCUCAGUCAGCAAAGGGACGAACUGAGAGACUGAAAUAUGUGCUUUGCACUACUUUAAAAGUUCUCUGAAGAUAUUUUAAGAUUUGCAGCUCCUCGCGCAGUUUUAAUUCAAAGCUCCCCCGAGAACCGGAGGGACCUGAUUUUGUGGCUUUGUUUGUUGAAGCGUAGCAGGUUAUUGAUGAAAACUUUAACCAAAAUUAUUGUAACUUUUUACGGAUACUACAAACUGUUUCGGAAUAAUCUGAACUGUGGCUUUCUUGAAUUUGGGCAGACCUUUGAAUUGUCUGAGACCAACAUCUAUAAACGUAUAAAACAGAAAAUAGGAUCCAAGAAAAAUUGCCCGUUUUACUCAGCGGUUUCUUGAUCAAUGUGCCAGAUAAGUUGGACAAAGGUAUAAAGUUCAAAAUUCGAAAUAUAUUUAUGACAAAAUGUAUUCAUCCAGAUAUAAUGGAAGUAUUGUGAAUUCAUUUUCUGAUUAGAAAUUCAUAUCUUCUAAAAUUGAUAUCAAAUUUUUAGGAAAAUUUUCGCAGAACAAAAUUUUUCUCGUUCGUUGAAACCGAUCGACAUUUUACUCACAUUUAAAUUUCUUUUGCUGAGGAAAAACACACUGUGAAAACGCUCUCCUUUGGUGAGUUGCAGUUUAAGUGAAUUAAGUGGGAAAACCAAAUAGAUGCUUACUAUAUUUUCACACGAUUGAAAAGAGUAACAAUUUCAAAUUUCGAUUUUGAAAGAUCGGAGAAUUGUAUCUGAUAAUAAUGUUCCUGAACUGCCAUCUCUCGUUUCCGAUCAUUUGACGUAAUUUGAUAUUUCUCCAUAAAUUUUGAAUUGCAUUUCUCGUUUGAAAGGAUUUUAAGACCCAGCAAGAUUAGCUGUCUCAAAUAAUAACAAGGAUUGAUAUAAGAGAAAUAAGCAUCUUUGCCUUGUUUUGAAAUACGACUGAGCAAAUUGGAAGAAUGCCAAAGCUUUAUUAAUCGAAAAAAUUUU